Non-coding RNA from Procambarus clarkii (red swamp crayfish), 354 nucleotides. Lineage: Eukaryota; Metazoa; Arthropoda; Malacostraca; Decapoda; Cambaridae. The record is from RefSeq and is a predicted model, not a curated record.
UUUUUACCUCAUUCGUUCUAUUUAACGAGCUCUUAAAUAAGAUCAUGUAGGUGCCAUGUCGUUAUGAUGCGGGCGUAAAAAUAAUCUCAUCAUGGUGCAACACCCUGAGGAAGCGUGUGACUGCCAUACCCUCACGUGCGCCAACUUAACACUAUCUCAAACUGUUUCCAGCCAGACGUACAGUGGACUGUAUCUACGUCCUCUGUCACAGCUGAGACAUAAUCAGUUUUCAUUGUAGAUAGUAGUUUAUUAUUUAAGAGACCAUAUCCAUAUAUAUAUACCUACAUAUCUGAUACUGCCAGUUAUGCAUUAUUAAUCUUCAUAUGGCAGUAGUAUUUUGCAUUAUAUAUUUUA